UACAGAGGUCCCGAGCGUUGUUCGGAUUCACUGGGCGUAAAGGGUGCGUAGGUGGUGAGGAAAGUCGGAUGUGAAAUCUCCAAGCUCAACUUGGAAAUGGCAUUGGAAACUACCUUGCUGGAGGUUUGGAGGGGGGACUGGAAUACUUGGUGUAGCAGUGAAAUGCGUAGAUAUCAAGUGGAACACCAGUGGCGAAGGCGAGUCCCUGGACAACACCUGACACUGAGGCACGAAAGCGAGGGGAGCAAACAGG
Molecule: ribosomal RNA, 253 nt
Filed under: uncultured bacterium
Lineage: Bacteria
Description: partial 16S ribosomal RNA
Rfam family: Bacterial small subunit ribosomal RNA
Source: RNAcentral